This 492-nucleotide ribosomal RNA is filed under the name uncultured bacterium. Its description in RNAcentral is "partial 16S ribosomal RNA". It matches the Rfam family "Bacterial small subunit ribosomal RNA", at positions 29 to 507 of the family's 1533-position model. The record is from RNAcentral.
AGUGAACGCUGGCGGUAGGCCUAACACAUGCAAGUCGAACGGCAGCACAGUAAGAGCUUGCUCUUACGGGUGGCGAGUGGCGGACGGGUGAGGAAUACAUCGGAAUCUACUUUUUCGUGGGGGACAACGUAGGGAAACUUACGCUAAUACCGCAUACGACCUACGGGUGAAAGCAGGGGAUCUUCGGACCUUGCGCGAUUGAAUGAGCCGAUGUCGGAUUAGCUAGUUGGCGGGGUAAAGGCCCACCAAGGCGACGAUCCGUAGCUGGUCUGAGAGGAUGAUCAGCCACACUGGAACUGAGACACGGUCCAGACUCCUACGGGAGGCAGCAGUGGGUAAUAUUGGACAAAGGGCGCAAGCCUGAUCCAGCCAUACCGCGUGGGUGAAGAAGGCCUUCGGGUUGUAAAGCCCUUUUGUUGGGAAAGAAAAGCAGCAGGUUAAUACCCCGCUGUUCUGACGGUACCCAAAGAAUAAGCACCGGCUAACUUCGUG